This 330-nucleotide ribosomal RNA is filed under the name Triticum aestivum (bread wheat). RNAcentral's name for it is "partial small subunit ribosomal RNA". Lineage: Eukaryota; Viridiplantae; Streptophyta; Magnoliopsida; Poales; Poaceae. The record is from RNAcentral.
AUGAUGAUGAUGUGCCUGCCUCUUCGGCGAGGAGUUGGAUUCCACAUUGGGGAUGGCGACCCUAGAAUGGCUGCAAUUCCUUUUCGGCCCGUUUGGAAAGAUGAUGGCGCAGUGGGUGAAUUUGGAUGGGUUUUGGUUGGCCCAUGGGUGGCCGAUGCCGACUUGGAUAUUUUAGAUGGUAAAUUGGACUGCCACAUUGUUUAUGUCCGCGCAGAAACAGAGAUGCAUAUAUCUGCAGUGAUUCUUGAGAGGACAUGGACGGCAUGUUUGGCGAUUUCCUUGGAGGUUUGGAUGGAUAUGGAAAAUGAUCCAAGAUCAAGAGAGCGAUAG